GGACUGUAGCUGAAUGGUAGAGCAUUUGCUUUGCAUGCAGAAGGUCACAGGUUCGAUUCCUGGCGUCUCCA
Podarcis lilfordi (Lilford's wall lizard) is the source of this 71-nucleotide non-coding RNA. The record is from the annotation of a GenBank genome assembly. Lineage: Eukaryota; Metazoa; Chordata; Lepidosauria; Squamata; Lacertidae.